Molecule: long non-coding RNA, 2227 nt
Organism: Dromiciops gliroides (monito del monte)
Lineage: Eukaryota; Metazoa; Chordata; Mammalia; Microbiotheria; Microbiotheriidae
Exons: 7
Source: RefSeq, a predicted model, not a curated record
UGCCUCAGUUAAAAAAAAAAUUGUUUUGUAAGAGGUUUUAAUAGGGACAUCUGAGGAGUCCCUACAAGGUACCAGUUAGAGAUUACUCUUUCAUUGGAAAAGAGUUGAGAAACAGUUGUAUUUGCUAUUAAAAUUUGUUUUGUAAGAGGUUUUAAUAGGGACAUCUGAGGAGUCCCUACAAGGUACCAGUUAGAGAUUACUCUUUCAUUGGAAAAGAGUUGAGAAACAGUUGUAUUUGCUAUUAAAAUUUGUUUUGUAAGAGGUUUUAAUAGGGACAUCUGAGGAGUCACUACAGGGUACCAGUUAGCGAUUACUCUUUCAUUGGAAAAGAGGUGAGAAACAGUUGUAUUUGCUAUUAAAAUUUGUUUUGUAAGAGGUUUUAAUAGGGACAUCUGAGGAGUCCCUACAAGGUACCAGUUAGAGAUUACUCUUUCAUUGGAAAAGAGUUGAGAAACAGUUGUAUUUGCUAUUAAAAUUUGUUUUGUAAGAGGUUUUAAUAGGGACAUCUGAGGAGUCACUACAGGGUACCAGUUAGCGAUUACUCUUUCAUUGGAAAAGAGUUGAGAAACAGUUGUAUUUGCUAUUAAAAUUUGUUUUGUAAGAGGUUUUAAUAGGGACAUCUGAGGAGUCCCUACAAGGUACCAGUUAGAGAUUACUCUUUCAUUGGAAAAGAGUUGAGAAACAGUUGUAUUUGCUAUUAAAAUUUGUUUUGUAAGAGGUUUUAAUAGGGACAUCUGAGGAGUCACUACAGGGUACCAGUUAGCGAUUACUCUUUCAUUGGAAAAGAGUUGAGAAACAGUUGUAUUUGCUAUUAAAAUUUGUUUUGUAAGAGGUUUUAAUAGGGACAUCUGAGGAGUCCCUACAAGGUACCAGUUAGAGAUUACUCUUUCAUUGGAAAAGAGUUGAGAAACAGUUGUAUUUGCUAUUAAAAUUUGUUUUGUAAGAGGUUUUAAUAGGGACAUCUGAGGAGUCACUACAGGGUACCAGUUAGCGAUUACUCUUUCAUUGGAAAAGAGUUGAGAAACAGUUGUAUUUGCUAUUAAAAUUUGUUUUGUAAGAGGUUUUAAUAGGGACAUCUGAGGAGUCCCUACAAGGUACCAGUUAGAGAUUACUCUUUCAUUGGAAAAGAGUUGAGAAACAGUUGUAUUUGCUAUUAAAAUUUGUUUUGUAAGAGGUUUUAAUAGGGACAUCUGAGGAGUCACUACAGGGUACCAGUUAGCGAUUACUCUUUCAUUGGAAAAGAGUUGAGGAACAGUUGUAUUUGCUAUUAAAAUUUGUUUUGUAAGAGGUUUUAAUAGGGACAUCUGAGGAGUCCCUACAAGGUACCAGUUAGAGAUUACUCUUUCAUUGGAAAAGAGUUGAGAAACAGUUGUAUUUGCUAUUAAAAUUUGUUUUGUAAGAGGUUUUAAUAGGGACAUCUGAGGAGUCACUACAGGGUACCAGUUAGAGAUUACUCUUUCAUUGGAAAAGAGUUGAGAAACAGUUGUAUUUGCUAUUAAAAUUUGUUUUGUAAGAGGUUUUAAUAGGGACAUCUGAGGAGUUACUACAAGGUGCCCCGGGACAAGACAUCUUCUAGACUGCCCCACAAAAACGACUCCCAGAAACCAGAUAACUACACGGGACAUGUGAGUUACAAGAUGAAAUUGCUAUUUGAAUGGACACUGGGAACACAUCACUGAAAUUACAAAGAGGCUUAGCCAUGUUUAUUGUUAUAAUCUUGGUAGUUAUUGACAUCAGUUCCUUGUGUUAUAUCUGGGGGUUCUUGCCAAAAAAUGAUGAAGAUAGAAUUUUUCAAGGAACAAAACCAGUCUUGAGAGGACACUAUUGGAUUUGUGCUUACCAGUCUCUGGCUGUGGGGUGGGGAGGGAGGUGUACCAGUCUCUGGCUGUGGGGAGGGGAGGGAGGACUACCAGUCUCUGGCUGUGGCGUGGGGAGGGAGGGGUACCAUUCUCCUUCCACUACCAGCUCUACGCCCACAUUCAGCUUGAAACAGUUACAGAAGAGGAGAUCUUCGCCCUCUUUUCCCUUAAAUAUUAGAAGUAGUGGGCAAGUGCAGUGGUAGCCUGGUAGGCCUGAGUCCAGUUGGUGAUGCUCUUUCCUGGAAGGGGUCAGUUAGAGAUUACUCUUUCAUUGGAAAAGAGUUGAGAAACAGUUGUAUUUGCUAUUAAAAUUUUUUUAGGUGUAUUCUGAGAUACCACCUGACACCUAUCAGAUCGGCUAAUAUGAC